GACGAACGCUGGCGGCGUGCCUAAUACAUGCAAGUCGAGCGGUGAAGAUCGGUGCUUGCACCGAGCUGGAGAGGCGAGAGCGGGAGAGUAACGCGUGUAACAUCUGCCUUUGAGCGGGAGAAAACCUGGGAAAAGGGGUGAAAAUACCGCAGGACAACUUGCAGCAUAAGGGGGAAGGGUGAAAGAUGCAAGUGCGUCACGUAAGGAUGGUCUAGCGGUUUGUUAGCUUGGUGGUGGGGUAAUGGCUCACCACGGCUGUGACGGGUAGCCGGCCUGAGAGGGCGACCGGCCACAUUGGGACUGAGAUACGGCCCAGACUCCUACGGGAGGCAGCAGUGGGGAAUAUUGCACAAUGGGCGGAAGCCUGAUGCAGCAACGCCGCGUGCGUGAUGACGGCCUUCGGGUUGUAAACCGCUUUCGCCUGUGACGAAGCGUGAGUGACGGUAAUGGGUAAAGAAGCACCGGCUAACUACGUG
This 476-nucleotide ribosomal RNA is filed under the name uncultured bacterium. RNAcentral describes it as "partial 16S ribosomal RNA". It matches the Rfam family "Bacterial small subunit ribosomal RNA", at positions 28 to 507 of the family's 1533-position model. The record is from RNAcentral.